UACGGGGGAUGCAAGCGUUAUCCGGAUUUAUUGGGUUUAAAGGGUGCGUAGGCUGUGAGGUAUGUCAGCGGUGAAAUGCCCCCGCUCAACGGGGUGAAGUGCCAUUGAUACUGCCUUGCUGGAAUGCGGAUGCCGUGGGAGGAAUGUGUGGUGUAGCGGUGAAAUGCAUAGAUAUCACACAGAACACCGAUUGCGAAGGCAUCUCACGAAUCCGCGAUUGACGCUGAUGCACGAAAGCGUGGGUAUCAAACAGG
RNAcentral lists this ribosomal RNA (254 nucleotides) under uncultured bacterium. Its description in RNAcentral is "partial 16S ribosomal RNA". It matches the Rfam family "Bacterial small subunit ribosomal RNA", at positions 524 to 776 of the family's 1533-position model. The record is from RNAcentral.